AGUGAACGCUGGCGGCAGGCCUAACACAUGCAAGUCGAACGGCAGCACAGUAAGAGCUCGCUCUUACGGGUGGCGAGUGGCGGAUGGGUGAGGAAUACAUCGGAAUCUACUUUUUCGUGGGGGACAACGUAGGGAAACUUACGCUAAUACCGCAUACGACCUACGGGUGAAAGCAGGGGAUCUUCGGACCUUGCGCGAUUGAAUGAGCCGAUGUCGGAUUAGCUAGUUGGCGGGGUAAAGGCCCACCAAGGCGACGAUCCGUAGCUGGUCUGAGAGGAUGAUCAGCCACACUGGAACUGAGACACGGUCCAGACUCCUACGGGAGGCAGCAGUGGGGAAUAUUGGACAAUGGGCGCAAGCCUGAUCCAGCCAUGCCGCGUGGGUGAAGAAGGCCUUCGGGUUGUAAAGCCCUUUUGUUGGGGAAGAAAAGCAGCGGGUUAAUACCCCGGUGUUAUGACGGUACCCAAAGAAUAAGCACCGGCUAACUUCGUG
This 492-nucleotide ribosomal RNA is filed under the name uncultured bacterium. RNAcentral's name for it is "partial 16S ribosomal RNA". It matches the Rfam family "Bacterial small subunit ribosomal RNA", at positions 29 to 507 of the family's 1533-position model. The record is from RNAcentral.